AAAAAUCCGUCAGAAUACCCCUUCCUCCAAAAGAUUGCAGGGUCUUCAAGGGGGCUAUAAGUCUGGAAAAAGUUGAAGGGGCCAAAGCAGGGAGCUAAAAGCGCGCGGCUCCUUUAAAAGGCUGCCUCUGCAGGCUCAGCUCCCUCCUCCAGCCACCCUCCUUGUCGGGGCUCCCUCUGUGAUUGACACAGAAAGAGAGGAGGCGCCUGGUGCUAACAAAAGUCUGAGCCACUGGAGAGCAGCGUAGGGCCGUGGGUCUCCUUCUCAGGGAACCAGCAACAAGUGGCUUGUAGCGGCACUUUCCCUUAGGAAGAAGUGCAUCGAGAGCGCUGGGACCGAAGGAGCGAGGCAGUUCUUCCUCUUCGCCCUCAGAAGCCUGAAGGGGAUGUCCUUGCCUGCCUAGCCCUGGGAUGCUGGAAGCUGCAUCUACAGAUUCCUCUAGUACCGCUGCCUGACCCUGAGUGUGGAUUAUUAAGUGGAGCUGCGACCCCUCGGGUUAUCUUUCUUGCAAAAAAAUAGAAAGGAGAAAAAGAAAGAAAAGAAAAGAAAAAAGCAAGGAGUGGAAAAGAGCAAGUCCAUCUGGAGAACCUACGGAGGGGGGGCAUUGCCCUCCCAGAGAUGGUCCUUGUUUAGGGGUUCUGAAGUAUGUCAAAGUAAUCGUUCGGGAUAGGAGGGUUCACUUGCCCGCUUUCGUCGCCCCCUGGUUGCCUAAGAACCGCGUCUUGGCUGGUUAGACAUGGUGUGUACUGGGAGAAGGAGAGUAUGAAGCCUGCAGGAUGGGAGCGAACAAUGGCAAACAGUACGGCAGUGAGGGCAAAGGCAGCUCAAGCAUCUCAUCCGACGUGAGUUCAAGUACAGAUCACACGCCGACCAAAGCUCAAAAGAAUGCAGCUACCAGUGAAGAGUGCCUUUCCUGGUUACCUUCUCAGAGGGAGAAGACUCACCGAGAUGAGUGAUCUGUGCAUCUUGCCCUACAAGAGCCUCAUCUGUCCAUUGAGUGAGUUUCUUGCUCCAGGUUUAAGUUACAUGUGUGGUGCUCCAGGCAGUCAUACUAAGUGCAGGACUGUGUCUACAGAUCCUGCCAAAGAAAGCAGACUUACUUGAACAUUGGAAUCAGGAGAUGAAAUAAAUGCAUCUCAGCUAUGAAAAACA
RNAcentral lists this long non-coding RNA (1152 nucleotides) under Monodelphis domestica (gray short-tailed opossum). RNAcentral's name for it is "lncRNA (ENSMODG00000040408.1)". Lineage: Eukaryota; Metazoa; Chordata; Mammalia; Didelphimorphia; Didelphidae. The record is from RNAcentral.